GGGGAAUGAAACAAAACGAAAACAAAAAACCAGGGCCCCAGUAUUAGAGUUUCUAAUUCAAUAGGUACAGGAUGGGGCCUGAUAAUUUGCACUUUUAACAAGUUUCCAGGUGCUGCUGCUGCUGCAGAUCUGGGAACCACACUUUGAGAACCACUGAACAAGACAUUAUGUCAUUGGUCCCUAUUAAAAAAAAGAAAGCCAUCUUCAAAUGAUCUUCACACUGGCAGAGCCAUAAGCUGCGAUGGAACCUAACCUCUGUGCCCCUUCAAUGUGGAACAUGUGGUCAUCAAAGAAGAUGUGGGGCCGGAUCUUCACCAAGAUGGGACUUUUGGGGGCUCCAGCAAGGAAAAGAGCUUCGUCUAUCUCUAGACCCCAGCGUCGAAGGGUCUUCAGCACACGGGCGCCUGAACUGGCUGCACUCCUAGCUGUAACCAGCCAUCAUCCAUGGAAAGUCCAGAUUAGCCUCCUGGAUGGAUUUGUGAGAAGCAGAGCCUCUCCUCCAAGCCAGAGAAGCCAUUGUGUACCAGCUCGCCCUAUUAGCAUACCAUGUGCCCAGGAGUAAACAGUGCCCAGAGAUGCUCUCUGCACCACACCACCACUGCUGGGGUCGGGGAGCGGAGUUGGUGAUCCAGGAAUGUUUUCCUGUUUCUUCAGUGCCUCUUUCAGUGAUAUGAAGUUAAAACCAGGGACACAGGAGAGAAUUAAGCUGACACCAGGAGACACAGCUGACACUGGGGAGAAGUGGUGAAGACAGCAUCCUGGAAGAGAUAUUUCCAAUGCAGACUAUGGAGAGAUAGAGAAGAGAUAAGAAAGAGAAAGAGGUGAGUCGUGAGUGCAGUUGUAAAAUAUAAAUACUUUUAAA
This 862-nucleotide long non-coding RNA is filed under the name Homo sapiens (human). RNAcentral describes it as "HSALNT0300837". Lineage: Eukaryota; Metazoa; Chordata; Mammalia; Primates; Hominidae. The record is from RNAcentral.